RNAcentral lists this ribosomal RNA (252 nucleotides) under uncultured bacterium. RNAcentral describes it as "partial 16S ribosomal RNA". It matches the Rfam family "Bacterial small subunit ribosomal RNA", at positions 524 to 776 of the family's 1533-position model. The record is from RNAcentral.
UACAGAGGGUGCGAGCGUUGUUCGGAAUUAUUGGGCGUAAAGGGCGCGUAGGCGGUGCGGUAGUCACCUGUGAAAUCUCCUGGCUCAACUGGGAGCUUGCAGGCGAAACUGCCGUGCUGGAGUGUGGGAGAGGUGCGUGGAAUUCCUGGUGUAGCGGUGAAAUGCGUAGAUAUCAGGAGGAACACCUGUGGCGAAAGCGGCGCACUGGACCACAACUGACGCUGAGGCGCGAAAGCUAGGGGAGCAAACAGG